CCAUAUAUAUAUGAGGUACAAUUUGGGUUUUCUAAGAUAUAAUUAUCAUAUAUUAAUGUCUACUCCAAAAAUCAUAAUGUCGCGGGUAUCAUUAAAUGGUAAACUUAUAAGAUCAACUUCAACUCCAAUCAUGAGAAUCAAUUGAAUAGCUAUAGCUAAUGACUAUUAGUUAAUUUGACCAACGAUCCAACCCAAAUCCAAUCUGGACUUGAAUCGAACCCAUAUUUUAUGGAUUAGGAUC
Molecule: long non-coding RNA, 241 nt
Filed under: Elaeis guineensis (African oil palm)
Lineage: Eukaryota; Viridiplantae; Streptophyta; Magnoliopsida; Arecales; Arecaceae
Description: long non-coding RNA (EGUI_LNC029006)
Source: RNAcentral